RNAcentral lists this unclassified non-coding RNA (338 nucleotides) under uncultured fungus. RNAcentral describes it as "sequence contains ITS1". The stretch from base 1 to 107 matches the Rfam family "5.8S ribosomal RNA", at positions 50 to 154 of the family's 154-position model. The record is from RNAcentral. Lineage: Eukaryota; Fungi.
GAAAUGCGAUACUUGGUGUGAAUUGCAGAAUCCCGUGAACCAUCGAGUCUUUGAACGCAAGUUGCGCCCCAAGCCUUCUGGCCGAGGGCACGUCUGCUUGGGUGUCAUAAAUCGUCGUCCCCCCAAUCCUUUACGGAUAAUGGGACGGAAGCUGGUCUCCCGUGUGUUACCGCACGCGGUUGGCCAAAAUCCGAGCCAAGGACGCCUUGAGCGUUCCGACAUGCGGUGGUGAGUAUAACAAGCUGCUUCAAGUGUCGGUCGUUGUUGUCCAAAAGCUCUUGAUGACCCAAAGUCUCCAAAGCGACCCCAAGUCAGGCGGGAUUACCCGCUGAGUUUAA